RNAcentral lists this non-coding RNA (102 nucleotides) under Propithecus coquereli (Coquerel's sifaka). Lineage: Eukaryota; Metazoa; Chordata; Mammalia; Primates; Indriidae. The record is from RNAcentral.
AGCUGGUGUGCGCGCAGCGGUGCUUAUAACUAACUGGUGACGACCAGCUGCAGAUUCCUUUGUUCCUUCUCCGCUCCCAUGGCUUCACUUGACCAGCCUAAA